RNAcentral lists this ribosomal RNA (1430 nucleotides) under uncultured bacterium. RNAcentral describes it as "bacterial SSU rRNA". It matches the Rfam family "Bacterial small subunit ribosomal RNA". The record is from RNAcentral.
AGAGUUUGAUCCUGGCUCAGGACGAACGCUGGCGGCGUGCCUAAUACAUGCAAGUCGAACGAAGCUUUCUUUCACCGAAUGCUUGCAUUCAUCGAAAGAAAGCUUAGUGGCGAACGGGUGAGUAACACGUAGGCAACCUGCCCAAAAGAGGGGGAUAACACUUGGAAACAGGUGCUAAUACCGCAUAACCAUGAACACCGCAUGAUGUUCAUGUAAAAGACGGCUUUUGCUGUCACUUUUGGAUGGGCCUGCGGCGUAUUAACUUGUUGGUGGGGUAACGGCCUACCAAGGUGAUGAUACGUAGCCGAACUGAGAGGUUGAUCGGCCACAUUGGGACUGAGACACGGCCCAAACUCCUACGGGAGGCAGCAGUAGGGAAUCUUCCACAAUGGACGAAAGUCUGAUGGAGCAACGCCGCGUGAAUGAAGAAGGCCUUCGGGUCGUAAAAUUCUGUUGUCAGAGAAGAACGUGCGUGAGAGUAACUGUUCACGUAUUGACGGUAUCUGACCAGAAAGCCACGGCUAACUACGUGCCAGCAGCCGCGGUAAUACGUAGGUGGCGAGCGUUGUCCGGAUUUAUUGGGCGUAAAGGGAACGCAGGCGGUCUUUUAAGUCUGAUGUGAAAGCCUUCGGCUUAACCGAAGUAGUGCAUUGGAAACUGGAAGACUUGAGUGCAGAAGAGGAGAGUGGAACUCCAUGUGUAGCGGUGAAAUGCGUAGAUAUAUGGAAGAACACCAGUGGCGAAAGCGGCUCUCUGGUCUGUAACUGACGCUGAGGUUCGAAAGCGUGGGUAGCAAACAGGAUUAGAUACCCUGGUAGUCCACGCCGUAAACGAUGAGUGCUAAGUGUUGGAAGGUUUUCCCCCUUCAAGGCUGCAACCUACGCCUUAAGCACUCCCGCCUGGGGGGGUCCGGUGGCAAGGACUGAAACUAAAAGGAAAUGGACGGGGGCCCGCCCAAGCCGUGGGAGCAUGUGGUUUUAAUCGGAAGCAACGCGAAGAACCUUACCCAGGUCUUGACAUCUUCUGACAAUUCCAGAGAUGAAACGUUCCCUUCGGGGACAGAAUGACAGGUGGUGCAUGGUUGUCGUCAGCUCGUGUCGUGAGAUGUUGGGUUAAGUCCCGCAACGAGCGCAACCCUUAUUGUCAGUUGCCAUCAUUAAGUUGGGCACUCUGGCGAGACUGCCGGUGACAAACCGGAGGAAGGUGGGGAUGACGUCAAAUCAUCAUGCCCCUUAUGACCUGGGCUACACACGUGCUACAAUGGACGGUACAACGAGUCGCUAACUCGCGAGGGCAAGCUAAUCUCUUAAAGCCGUUCUCAGUUCGGAUUGCAGGCUGCAACUCGCCUGCAUGAAGUCGGAAUCGCUAGUAAUCGCGAAUCAGCAUGUCGCGGUGAAUACGUUCCCGGGCCUUGCACUCACCGCCCGUCA